This 253-nucleotide ribosomal RNA is filed under the name uncultured bacterium. RNAcentral describes it as "partial 16S ribosomal RNA". It matches the Rfam family "Bacterial small subunit ribosomal RNA", at positions 524 to 776 of the family's 1533-position model. The record is from RNAcentral.
UACGUAGGGUGCAAGCGUUAAUCGGAAUUACUGGGCGUAAAACGUGCGCAGGCGGUGAUGUAAGACAGUGGUGAAAUCCCCGGGCUUAACCUGGGAACUGCAUUUGUGACUGCAUCGCUGGAGUGCGGCAGAGGGGGAUGGAAUUCCGCGUGUAGCAGUGAAAUGCGUAGAUAUGCGGAGGAACACCGAUGGCGAAGGCAAUCCCCUGGGCCUGCACUGACGCUCAUGCACGAAAGCGUGGGGAGCAAACAGG